GGCUGGGAGACUCAGAGGAGGGAUGCUGCUUCGUAUGUCACAGAAAUUAUGAAUGGGCAGCAAAGAGUGCUUCAAGAAAGGCAAGAAUUCACCAGCAGAAUGAGGAGUGCAAACCUGUGAGCUUCAUUGCUUCCUCUUGGUGGAGAGACACAGAGCAAAAAAAAGAUAUCAUUGUUCCAGAGGGUAGAAAGUUGUGUGAAUAUUCCAAAGCACCGUCAAUCUCUGAAGUGACUUUUCAGCUAUGGACCCAAAGUGCCAAUCUUCCUCUCCUCAGAAACAGACUGUGAAAAACAGGUCCAAAUCCACUGAGGAGAUCCAACAAGCUAAAAAGGCCUUUCACACUCCCCAGAAAUCCCUGCCAGGGAAGACAGAACUAGAGAAACUUAAGGAGGCCUCUGAUGUCUCAGAGACAACAUCCUCACCUGAAGUGUUAAAAUGAGUGGGAGAUCAAAGCUGAAUGGCUAGUUGGCUAGUUUUGAGUCAUCCCAAAAAAAAGCAUUUCUGUCAGUAUCCACUCAAACACACAGCAACAGGGAGCCAAAACUGUGCAGUGGUUUGGCCUUGACUUUCCCAUUGUCAUCACCAUGCUUCAGAUAUAAAGCUGACGUAAUGUCAAUGUAAUGUCAGUCCACUGUACGUAAAGAACUGAAUGUGCAUUAACAAAAAAGCGACCUUGAAGUUCUCUUUCUCUGAAUUCAUUCUUCUUUCUUUAUUUGGUAAUCAGGGUAUAUCUUAAUACUACUAUAUAGAUCUGGAAGCACUUAUUGUAGACUGAAUGGUCUCUGUACAUUUUUCAUUUUAUAUAGUGUCAUGCUUCAAGUUAACUAGUAACUCUGUAAUGUGUGUGUAAAAAUAAAUCUAAUUAAAAAUAAUAAAAAAAAACUACUGUUUACCUCAGCAUAAUGUGAAAGACGUGGAAAUCACUCAAUUCUACUUCACCAGGAGCAUACUUUUAAAAUUUAGCCUGGGGGAAAUCAGGCAGGUUAGAGUCUCUUCUUGGUGAAUCUUACAUUCUGCACUUUUUUUUCUCUGACAGUUCUUCAUUUGAAAUUGCUAUCCUGUGUGAAAUGGUUUAAGUUUUACUCAGCAUCUGUUAAACCAGGAGAAUUGAAAUAGUUGUCAGGGAAUUCUAAUAAAAUAAAUUAAUUGGGAAUAAGAAAGUCAAAGGUAGAAGACUACUAAAAAAAGAUCCUUGUUUAAGGUAGCUUUCAAGCACCAAAUACCACAACCAAGCAAGUAUGACAGCCUGAUGGCCUCUUUCUCAUUUGUAACAGUUUCUUGUUCUUAAUUUUCUUAGAUGGUCAGAAUAUCUGUUGCUUAGAGUAUGUCAUUAAAUACUUUUAGAAUAUGUAUGUAUAUCCACAUACAGCUUGUGUGUAGCAGGCACGCUUUAGAACAUCAAUAUAUUUAGUUAAUUUUAAGGCCAGAGUAAUAGCUAUGCUAAUAUUGAAAUUAAAAAAAAAAAUUACUAAAAAUGAACAAAAAGUAAAUUACUUUCUGGAGCACAGAAUCCUCCCUCUGGUAUUGAUUUUUACUCUUUCUUAUUACUAAGUCUUACAUGUAUUAAUUUUUUCAAUCUCAGUAGGAGUUAUUACCUUUUUUAUCAGUAAUAUCAGAAUACAAAUAGCAUUCUUGUCCCAAAUUGGAACAUAUUCAGGAAUUGCAGUUUUAGAAACACCAGGGAAUGCUCUGUUCUGUAUAAUUUAAAUUGACCAGGAAUGCGACAUAUUACAAUUCAAUAAUUAGUUUAAAUAGUUUAGAAUUUAAUGACCUCGGUAUUUUUCUUUCUAUGUAUAACUUAUAUACUGUACCAUAAUUGUGACCUAUUCAUUUUAUCGGUCAAAUGCCAGAUAAAUACUUGAUCUAAAUUCUUCAAUAAACAUUUCUCUUUGACUAUCCCUAGCCAGUUUUCUGCUUCAAACAUACUAAUUUCAUCUUCCAUUUUAUGGAUAUUUAUUUCUGGGAAUGUGUUCUGUGAUAGUUUUGUUUUUCUUAUUUGAAGGUAAAGUACAUUUAUCACAAAAUGGACAUACACCUGAAUGAGCAUUCAUACAGUAUAUUUGAAUACAAAUUAUAGUACAAAAAUGUAAGUAUUGCUAUGGUUCUAGAAACAUUAUUGUUUAAACAAGGAAUGGUUGAUUCAGUAUAUUUUGUUGCUGAUAUACUGUAUAGUCACAAACAUAAUUAUUUUAAUGGAUUAAAGAUUUACCUCUA
This is a long non-coding RNA of Lepisosteus oculatus (spotted gar), 2214 nucleotides long. RefSeq lists it as uncharacterized. Lineage: Eukaryota; Metazoa; Chordata; Actinopteri; Semionotiformes; Lepisosteidae. The record is from RefSeq and is a predicted model, not a curated record.